Molecule: ribosomal RNA, 270 nt
Filed under: uncultured archaeon
Lineage: Archaea
Description: partial 16S ribosomal RNA
Rfam family: Bacterial small subunit ribosomal RNA
Source: RNAcentral
CGAGGGUGCGAGCGUUGUUCGGAAUUAUUGGGCGUAAAGGGCAUGUAGGCGGUAGCGUAUGUCAGGUGUGAAAUCCCUCGGCUCAACCGAGGAAGUGCAUUUGAAACUACGCUACUAGAGUACGGGAGAGGAAGGCGGAAUUCCCAGUGUAGAGGUGAAAUUCGUAGAUAUUGGGAGGAACACCGGUGGCGAAAGCGGCCUUCUGGCUCGAUACUGACGCUGAGAUGCGAAAGCGUGGGGAGCAAACAGGAUUAGAUACCCGAGUAGUCC